RNAcentral lists this ribosomal RNA (155 nucleotides) under Salix viminalis (osier). It matches the Rfam family "5.8S ribosomal RNA". From Rfam's summary of the family: 5.8S ribosomal RNA (5.8S rRNA) is a component of the large subunit of the eukaryotic ribosome. Lineage: Eukaryota; Viridiplantae; Streptophyta; Magnoliopsida; Malpighiales; Salicaceae. The record is from RNAcentral.
GACUCUCGGCAACGGAUAUCUCGGCUCUCGCAUCGAUGAAGAACGUAGCGAAAUGCGAUACUUGGUGUGAAUUGCAGAAUCCCGUGAACCAUCGAGUCUUUGAACGCAAGUUGCGCCCGAGGCCUCCUGGUCGAGGGCACGUCUGCCUGGUGUCA